CUAUCUAACAACUUGCAAGGCAAGUAUCACGGUCACGUUCAUAUUACCCACCUUGAUGCUGCAGACUCUCCCACUGUGGUUCCAGCAACAGCUUUUCCAGAACCUUCCAGCCAGUGGAGGGAUGGAGGGAGUAUGAGACCCCAGCUCCUCGCAGGUUAAACCCAAAGCCCACACUCUGGAACACCCACAACUCCGGAACACCCAGAACACUACACAGCUGCACAGCUCCAGGACACAGAAUACAUCUCACACAGCGCAAGGAAACUUCUGGAGGCCAUCCCUAACAACAGCAGCAGCUUGGCAGCCAGAGGUGUGCAGCAGCAGUUUUCUUAGGGUUGCCAUAGCAACACCCACCGAUGGCAAACAGUGCAGUCCAGGACCUGAGCCCUAGGACCAUGCCCCAGGACUACCUGACAUGAUGACUCCUUGCUGUCCCCAGUCCACCUGGCCGUGCUGCUGCUCCAGUUUCAACUGUUCUGCCUUAUUAUUAUUCGACCAUGCUGGUCAUUUAUGAACAUUUGAACAUCUUGGCCAUGUUCUGUUAUAAUCUCUACCCGGCACAGCCAGAAGAGGACUGGCCACCACACAUAGCCUGGUUCCUCUCUAGGUUUCUUCCUAGGUUUUGGCCUUUCUAGGGAGUUUUUCCUAACCACCGUGCUUCUACACCUGCAUUGCUUGCUGUUUGGUGUUUUAGGCUGGGUUUCUGUACAGCACUUUGAGAUAUCAGCUGAUGUACGAAGGGCUAUAUAAAUAAAUUUGAUUUGAUUUUGAACUUGAAAAUAAUUAAUUUGAUAAAUUUUCAGGCGUCCGCAUUGAAAAGUGGUGCUGAAUGGUCUCUAACACCAGCAGAUGAUAUUGUUCUUACAGAGCGUUUCUGCAGGUGAUAGAUUGAUAGUAGUUUGGUGUGUGUGCAGGCCCGUAUAAUGUUACAGUAACGGGUGAAUGGGAAGAUCAUUGUGUAUUAGAGACUGAGAGCAGUGCCUCUCUUUAGGAGAUAUCUCGUUUUGCCAAGUAUCCCCGUAUUCUUGUCAAUCUUAAAGAUUAUUGUCUUUGUGUGGUUUCCAUGACAAUUCAUCAUCAAUCAGAACACCAAGAAAGUGUGUUGUACAGCCCUGAUCAAUAGGUAUAUUAUCAAUAUGGACCACUAUAUAAUCUGUAUUUUAUUUCCUUUGGACCAAAUAAUAAAAAAAUAUUUAUUUUUUUA
Long non-coding RNA from Oncorhynchus masou masou (cherry salmon), 1204 nucleotides. RefSeq lists it as uncharacterized. The transcript is spliced from 4 exons. Lineage: Eukaryota; Metazoa; Chordata; Actinopteri; Salmoniformes; Salmonidae. The record is from RefSeq and is a predicted model, not a curated record.